UGGUCCUUUAGAGCCAGAGAUAGAUGUCAAAGUGGAAGAUUUGGUAGCUUCACCGUUGGAUUGGGGCAGUGAGGAGCUACACGACAUUGUCGAUCAAAUGGGUUUUCUUGGAUCAGAACCUUGAUUAUACAGCUCGGGCACAUCUCACUGUGGUCUCAGAGCUGUCUUGCGCGGUUUGAGUUGUGGUAAUUGCUACCACCUCUAUUUACUUGUUGAAUUGUUUCUUUUGUUUUGUAUUAGUUAAUGCGUUCAGUGUGUGGUUUCGUUGUACAUUGUGUGUUUCCUGUUCUGUUGAAUAAAAGACCUCUCAUUUGAUAUGUUUCAGUCUCCAGAUCUUAGAAGCAGACAUGUUUUCAACCUGGAGCUGCAGUUUGAAAAUCUAGCGAGUGUAAAAGAGCCAAGACCUGUUUGUUACACUCCUUUUGGGAAAGGAGUCAAUGGUUCAUGCUUGGUGGGUGUGUUCGCGUGUGCAUAUGUAGCUAGCUUUUACUUUAUAUAUACGGAGAAUGAUAGAAACCUAUAUUAUGAACUAAGGAGAACUAAAUAUUGUAAAUAAUAAAAUUAAUAAAAUUAUGUUAAAGCUUAAAGAAAAAAAUAUUACAAGUGCAGAGUCUGAGAUAUUAUUUUUUGUUUUAAUUCAAAAUAUGUUUCGUAGUGCGACGGUUUGAUGAGUCUUAUAAUACAACUGCAAAAAAAAUUUAAUUUGUGUUAUUCUAUCAGAAGCUGGUGAAAUUAGUUUUGUGUAUGCUUUCAAACUCAAAAAGAAAUUAUCAAAGAGGAAAAAAAAAUAUGAGGGAUUGAUUUAUUUUUCUCUGUGUUCUUUGCUAUACACAAGUGCUCCUAUUUAAAUCGAGAAAGCGAUUAUUCGACUAUUUCUAACUCUACUUGUUGAGUUGUCACAUGAAACCAUGGCUAGAGAACACUGUGACAAGGAUGAGAUUCCACCUAUCAACAUUAAUCAUUUGCAGUUAGAAGUUAUAAUGGCUGAUAUCACCAAACGAAACAUCAGUCUUCGAAAAAGAAAAAAUAUAUUAAAAAGAGAUUUAUAUGCUUUUGAUGAGUUUGGUUGUGUGUAAGAAAGGAAACGAUCUGAAAGACCAGUGGAUAGGCCUAAUAGGAGAGCAAGGUUGCAGCUAGUGUUAUCAUACGUCUUAAGAGUAAUGCACAGCGUGACCAAUUCAAUUAUUCCACAAAGAGCUUGCUACAAAAAAAAAGACAAAACUUGUUAAGAAUAUAAAGAUCAAUUUUUAACAAAUCUGAUUUUUACAGGAAAAGUCACGACCAAAAAGGCUGCUAGACAUGCCUAUUAGGAGGAACAGAGGACAAUCUAGACCAGCCAAAGAAGAAGACAGGCCUUGCUAUAGUCGCUAUGAUCAAAGGAGUUCACAUCACUUCACAAUUACUCCAUAAGAAUUCAUGAAGAAAUCAUUAACCAAGAAUUUUAUGAUAAUUUGAAUAAGAUAGUGAACCAGGGAUUCAAGUUUGAGAAAAACAAGAAAAUGCCAACCCCAUGACAUUCCUCAUAACAUGCAGGAAUAUGUUAUCCAAGAGCUGAAAACAGAGUCAUCUAAAGUGAAAAAAUAACCUGAGAUAAAACAUGAGUGUUCUCUUUUCUCUCCUCUAUUUAAACUUUUUUUCCAUAAUACCAGUGAUGAACUAACUUAUUUAGAACCGGUGCAACCGCGUAGACCUGUAUCCCAUAUCUCAGAAUAACACUCAGAAACAUAACAAAAGAGUUUAACACAAAAUGAAGUGUUGGAGUAGCUGAUCAGCUUGGAGCCAAAUACAAAUACAAAUCCUAAAUCUCUGUCCUCUGGCCUGCAAAAGCAUUGUAUGGAACUUUGUAUGGUUAGUUAUAUAUCUGAAAUGUUUGUUGAUAAGCUCAAAUUUACCAUAAGAGCAACUCUGCAAUUUCAGAGGUCGAUUGAUAUGCUUAAAUUUACUAUAAAAGAAACUCUGCAAUUCCAGACAUCAGUUGCAGAUAGAUAAAUAAACAUAAAUUUUUUUAUAAUUUUAAAAUGUUAUAACUAAAAUUCUAAAAAAUUAUCUAUAUCUCUGCAAUGUUUAAAUUUUAAAAUUGAAAUAAUAUAAGUUAAAAAUAUAUCAAUUUUUUAAUAAUUUAUUCACUAACAGUAUCAUGCUUUAUUUUAUAAAAACUUUUAACCCAGAAUAUUUGUUAUAAUUUUUAAACAUUAAUACAUAUAUAUAUAUAUAUAUAAAUAUACAUAUAUAAAUGAAACAAAAUAUUCUCUUAAAUGUUCUAAUAUAAAUCUAAUUUUAUUGAAAUUAUAACUUUCAUAUGAACUAAAUAAAUAAACGUAAUAUUAUUUUUAAUUAUAUUAUAUUAAUAACUAUUUUAUUUUAUCAUAAUAAUAUGUUUUCAUAUUUUUAUAAUGUUAUAAUGUGUUAAUAUUGGUAAUUUAUUAUUAAAAAAUAACAUUAUUGCAUAAUUAACCAGUCAUAAAUAUUUCGCAAAUACAACAAUUUUAGCCGAUGUACUAAUCAUAAAAAUUGCAUAAGAACACUAGAAACCGCAUUCAUCCACGUCCAUAAACUUCCGCAAUCGCACUCACAUGCGUGCAUUUCAACCAGUCAGGGCAUAUAUAGUUAUAUAUGUUGUUCUUUGGAGUUUGUAUCCUUUUUUUUUUCUAAUUUACAUAAAUAUACACUCUCAAAUACAUAGUGUGGACUUUAAGACCCACAAUUUCAUAAUACCUUUACAGUUAAAAUUCCAAAGUCCAAACUUGAGAUCAUUUCCUCCGUAGAUAGCCAUUUCUUUUUCCCUAUUAAAAAUACUAACAAAUAUUCAAAUAAUCAUCAAUUAUUAUUUCAACUGAAAAAGGAGAGACCCAAAAAGAAAGAGGGAAAAGUGGAAUAAAAAGCAAACUAAAACUAGAAAUAAUAGAAGCUUAGCUUACUCCAGUGGACGGUAAACUCCCCUUGACAUCUACAAGCACUUGCAAGUGCAACGAUGAGUACAUGCUGUACAGCGAUGGGUGGAGAUGCUAAACAAUGACCGAUACUUUAAAAAGAUUUUUAUGAAGUUAAAGUUUAUACAACUUUAAACAUUCAAAAUGUUUAGCCCUUUUUCAAAAAAAAAAAACAUUCAAAAUGUUUAGAUGCAAUGACCUACUACAGUAUAGCCUCUAACUUAAUAUUUGAUAAAUUAAUUAAAAUUACAAUUUCUGAAUAAUUUUUGACCAAUUGUUAUUCUUUUCCAUAAACUCGGCAUUUAUUUUUCUUUUGUGGUUUUGCAACCCAUAUAAACCAAUCUAAGACAUACUCAAGUAUAAUAUUUUUACUGAUAGCGAUAGGAUAGAAAUUUAGAUCACCAACUGAUAAAUAUUGUCAACUACAAUAACAAUUGAUAAAGACAAAUUUUCUUUCUAUUAUCUAAGUGUUUCGGUAGUUCCGCUUUGAUACCAUGAUAUGUUUCCUGAGCUAUGAACUUAAAAUCAAUUGGCGGUAACUGAAAUGGUUCACAUUUUUUAUAUAUAACUUAGAUCCCUUUAAUAUUUCCAAUAUGAGAUUUUAUUUCCAACAAAUUCCAAGUAAACUGUUUUUUAAAUAUAAACUUUUCUUUCUCUUUAUUUUCAUAUACUUUUUAGCUGAGAAUGCGAUAGCUAUUUGUGACAAUGUGUCAUUAUCUGGAAACCAACCCAACAUUUUAAUGAAUGACAUCAUAGUUCCACAAAGAAAGAACUAAUAUUUUUUUCCAGAAUCAAUGUUUAACAUCAUAAUUCUCUUCGGAGAGCAUUUGAGAACUUUCGUUAUGGCGCAUGUAGCGACGUAAUCAUUCGACUUAUUUUCAUAUUAUAAAGUGAUAUAUUUAAUUAUAUACUAGAUUGCAUUAUUAAUAGUUUCCGAAUACAUCCUAAUUAAUAAAGAUAUUGACAAAGAGAACUUUAAAAUUCAAUAUGAAAUAUGUUCAAUUUAAGUUUUGGUUCGAUUUUGAUUCGCUUUUUUGGUAUUUUGGUAUUUCAAUUUAUAAGAAUUAGCUACUAUAUUAAAGCCACAUUUAUGUUGGUUUGGUUCUUUUAUAUACUUUUGGUUUAUUCAGUUUUAUACCAAAAUCAUAGCUAUAUUGAUUUUUUAAACACUUUGUGAAUUUUAGUAUAUAUGAUUAGAAAUUGGAUUUAUUAAAACUUAAAAAUAUUUUCAGUACUCUAAAUUUUAAAGACCCAAAAUAAAAAAGCUAAAAGACUAGGGCUACAAGCCAACAAUAAAAAUAUAUUUCUUUUAAUUUAUUUAAUGAAGAAAAAUAAUUGGUGAAUAAAAAGUUAAUAUUUAAGAUAGUUUCAUAAAAUAAAAAUAAGAAAAAUUUAGUAGGAAGAUAGAUGGGCGAUCCAAGUGAGAUCCAAUAUAGAUCCGUACUUUCUAUUCACUUGUGAGAUUUGGAUGGUUUGGAGAGAAUAAUAUUAUUACAUAACUAAAGUUUAGCAAACAUAUAUGCCAAUAAAAAUAAAUUUUAUUUAAUUUGAUGCGGUUCGUCAUCUUCACCGAGACCAAUGGAAGGGCUUAACGAGACAGGGCCACCGCCGUUUCUGACAAAGACUUACGACAUGGUGGAGGAUCCGGCAACGGACACGGUGGUGUCUUGGAGCAAUGGUCGUAACAGUUUCAUCGUUUGGGAUUCUCACAAAUUCUCCACCACUCUCCUUCCUCGCUUCUUCAAGCAUAGCAAUUUCUCCAGCUUCAUUCGUCAGCUCAACACUUACGUAAGUCUGCCCUCUUCUUCACUAACCUCCUCUGCUUCUUGUUCCUUUUGUUGUUUUCUAAUCUCGACUUUGGAUUUCUUUAGAUCGGUGGUUAGUCCUCAGCUUGAAAGGUUAGUUCUUUGUGCUUUCCGACAACUAAAAUAUCAAAUGGGUUUCUCAAAGUUUGCUCCUUUGUUACAUCAGACCUAUCUUCUGGUUUAAAUGUGACAAAGAAUCUAUAGAAUGAGUAAAGUGCAUGUUUCUUUUUAGUUUAACCGCCUUGUCUUUUGAUCUAGUUCCGGUUCUGCUGUUUCGAAAGUUAGAAAUAGAAUCUUAAGAAACUUGUCCUUGUAUUUGCAGGGAUUCAGAAAGAUCGAUCCGGACAGAUGGGAGUUCGCGAACGAAGGGUUUUUGGCGGGGCAGAAGCAUCUCCUGAAGAGCAUAAAACGAAGGAGAAACAUGGGUUUGCAGACUGUGAAUCAGCAAGGAUCAGGAUCAGGAUCAGGAUCAGGAUCAGGUAUGUCUUGUGUGGAAGUCGGGCAAUACGGUUUCGAAGGGGAGGUAGAGAGACUGAAAAGGGACCAUAGCGUGCUCGUAGCUGAGGUAGUUAGGCUGAGACAGCAGCAACAUAACUCCAAGAGUCAAGUCGCAGAAAUGGAGCAACGUUUGCUAGUUACUGAGAAAAGACAGCAGCAAAUGAUGGCGUUCCUCGCCAAGGCCUUGAACAAUCCAAACUUUGUUCAACAGUUCGCGCUAAUGAGCAAAGAGAAGAAGGGUUUGUUCGGUUCCGAUGUUGGUAGGAAGCGGAGGCUUACUUCUAGUCCAAGCUUGGGGACUAUCGAGGAGAGAGUGUUGCAUGAUCAUAUGGAGUUUGAUAGAAUGAAGGAUGAUAUGGAGACGUUACUUGCUGCAGCCAUAGAUGAUGAGGCGAGUAAGGAUGAACAAUGUUUGGAAGCUAUGAAUGUGAUGAUGGAAGAUGGUCCUUUAGAGCCAGAGAUAGAUGUCAAAGUGGAAGAUUUGGUAGCUUCACCGUUGGAUUGGGGCAGUGAGGACCUACGCGACAUUGUCGAUCAAAUGGGUUUUCUUGGAUCAGAACCUUGAUUAUACAGCUCGGGCACAUCUCACUGUGGUCUCAGAGCUGUCUUGCGCGGUUUGAGUUGUGGUAAUUGCUACCACCUCUAUUUACUUGUUGAAUUGUUUCUUUUGUUUUGUAUUAGUUAAUGCGUUCAGUGUGUGGUUUCGUUGUACAUUGUGUGUUUCCUGUUCUGUUGAAUAAAAGACCUCUCAUUUGAUAUGUUUCAGUCUCCAGAUCUUAGAAGCAGACAUGUUUUCAACCUGGAGCUGCAGUUUGAAAAUCUAGCGAGUGUAAAAGAGCCAAGACCUGUUUGUUACACUCCUUUUGGGAAAGGAGUCAAUGGUUCAUGCUUG
This 6125-nucleotide long non-coding RNA is filed under the name Brassica napus (rape). RNAcentral describes it as "long non-coding RNA (BNAP_LNC002367)". Lineage: Eukaryota; Viridiplantae; Streptophyta; Magnoliopsida; Brassicales; Brassicaceae. The record is from RNAcentral.